UUAAAGGACAAGGUUCACUAAUGGCACAAAAUGGCCUAAAAUAUCAACUUUAUCAUAAAACACCAAAAAGGUCUUAAUUUGGUUCGUAAAUGGGUCUAUUUCAAAAGUAUAAAUGCUAAAUAUAUCAAUUCUUUUCAUAAGACUACAAGAUAUUCGCCAAAGUAAGCCCAUUUUGGACAUUUUGUCAAAAUAUGAUGAUUUUGUGCAUUUUUUAGACCUAAAAGCUUUUGAAACACCUUGACCGCCACCUACGAUCCAGAAUGUGUUGUAACCAAAAGAUUCAAAUUUUGAUAUAGAUUUCAUCAAUAUAAAAACUUUUUGGAUCGUAGAUGGAGGCCAAGGUUAAUUAUGCCAAAAACAAUUAAAAUUAUGGACAAAAAGUACCAAAUUUGACCUUUUAAUACAAAUUAUGCUCAUUUAAGAGGCCAUUGCUCCAUAAAUAGUAAAGGAAAGUGCUAGAAAAAAUAUUUUUGUCUUAGUAGUAUUAUCACAAGUAUUUCUAUGUGACAUUUGUAAUUUUUUACCCAAUUUAAAAAAACAUAAAAAAAUCAGGGCC
Molecule: long non-coding RNA, 556 nt
Filed under: Mytilus galloprovincialis (Mediterranean mussel)
Lineage: Eukaryota; Metazoa; Mollusca; Bivalvia; Mytilida; Mytilidae
Source: RNAcentral